RNAcentral lists this ribosomal RNA (461 nucleotides) under uncultured bacterium. RNAcentral describes it as "partial 16S ribosomal RNA". It matches the Rfam family "Bacterial small subunit ribosomal RNA", at positions 338 to 795 of the family's 1533-position model. The record is from RNAcentral.
CCUACGGGAGGCAGCAGUGAGGAAUAUUGGUCAAUGGACGAGAGUCUGAACCAGCCAAGUAGCGUGAAGGAUGACUGCCCUAUGGGUUGUAAACUUCUUUUAUAAAGGAGUAAAACGAGGCACGUGUGCCUUGUUGCAGUUACUUUAUGAAUAAGGAUCGGCUAACUCCUUGCCAGCAGCCGCGGUAAUACGGAGGAUCCGAGCGUUAUCCGCAUUUAUGGGGUUUAAAGGGAGCGUAGAUGGGUUGUUAAGUAAGUUUGGAAAGUUUGCGGCUCAACCGUACAACUUCAAUUGAGACUGGCAGUUUUUAGUACAGUUGAGGUAAGCGGAAUUCGUGGUGUAGCGGUGAAAUGCUUAGAUAUCACGACGAACCCCGAUUGCGAAGGCAGCUUACUAAACUGUGACUGACAUUGAUGCUCGAAAGUGUGGGUAUCAAACAGGAUUAGAUACCCCUAGUAGUC